Molecule: non-coding RNA, 503 nt
Organism: Paramuricea clavata
Lineage: Eukaryota; Metazoa; Cnidaria; Anthozoa; Malacalcyonacea; Plexauridae
Source: the annotation of a GenBank genome assembly
CCCAGUUAAAAGAGGAUUCUUUGGUCGUUUUACUCUCGAAUCUCGACUUUUACUGUCGACUUUUACUCUCGACCUAUAGACCCAUUGCACUGACGUCACAAAUCCUUAGAGUGUCCUCCAGAUGCUCCCUAACAAUAUCUGUUUGGGUACAACAACCACAUACAGCGCAAAAAUUAACCAUUUUAAUACAAAAUUAUUAUAAAGUUUUACAAAAUUUGCUUUGUUUACAAAAGUUAUAUUAUGCAUAGAUUGCUAAUUUGUCCUCCAGAUGCAUCGUCGCCGGCCCUAUGACGUCAUGUGCAAUGGGUCUAUACUCUCGACCCUCGACUUUUAGAUAUGUACACUCCUUCCUUGAGUAAACCUGAAUGCUUUAAUUUGCACUUUUGUAGUUCUUUCGUGUGUUUUGCUUAUACAAAUGGAAAUUAUUGGAAACACCCCCCACCCCCCCGGUUCCGACGGCCUUGUGCAUAUUUCACCAACUUGCAAUUUCUUAUUCAACUUGC